RNAcentral lists this long non-coding RNA (1245 nucleotides) under Pan troglodytes (chimpanzee). RNAcentral's name for it is "long non-coding RNA NONPTRT002590". Lineage: Eukaryota; Metazoa; Chordata; Mammalia; Primates; Hominidae. The record is from RNAcentral.
UGUUUGUUGGCUCCCUACAAACAUGUCAUUCAAGUGGCUAAUCUUACAACAGCACAAAUUCAUCUAACCAGAAAGAGAAGAGGAGGCUCCAAAGGCACUUGACUACUGAGCAUCACCCUGGACGUGUACAAGUCUGCGUCCUUAUUGUUUUCUUCAUUGGGCCGAACUUUCUGGUCCUCAUCCAACAGCUCUUCUAUCACGUGUUCGAAAGUGUCAGCCAACGAUGUCAAGCCUCUUGAACCUGCCUUGGGCCCAUUCACGCUCUCCAGAGUCCCAUGGGUCCGCACACCUGGAGAUACUCUAUUAUAGCAAAGAAGAAAGAUAAUUUCAUUGAGCCAUCCUGUUUUACAGAAUCCCUUCAAAGCCUGGUGGUCUGACACCCUAUGCUACGUGACUCGUGACCCAUCCAUUUGUCAUGUUGUUUGGGAAUGUGGCUAAGGGGCUGAGAUGUGACUUGAAAAGAAAGGUAGAACCAGAUCAUCUCAAAUUUAUUAUCAAGGAAUAGUUCAGACAACGACUUCCGACCACAGAGACAGCAGAACAGAUGGUCCGACAUGGAUAGAGCAUCAGACACUCACAGACUGUGCCAACAAGAGCCAUCGAGUCAAAACCGCCAAAGGAAGGAGGGUCAUGGAAUGGGUUCUCUCACACCAAACUGAUGCCCAGAGGCCCUUGGCAUGAAUAACAAAGGCAACCAGACCCACAAGCCAUACUGAGUGGAUACAAAACCUAUACCUAGGCUGACAUCCCAAAUGUGUGUGGCAAGUUAGAUGAUGAUGGCACAAAAGACAGAACACCUUGCUUCUGGCCAUUGUCAGCUCUUGGAAGAGAGCACACUUUUAGAGGAGUAGCUGCAAGGAGCCUGAGAACAAAACUAGAAAUGUCUGUUAUGAAAGCCUUCGCAGGUAUUAUUAACAAAAGAAAAUGUGUAUUUGUCAAUGGUGUUUCAGCUAGAUUUUGGCAGUCCAUUCUUAUGCCCAGGAAUGACCUCUUGUGUAGACUGGAUACAGUCAUCAAUGCAACUGUCCAGGUGCAACUCUUCUAUAAAGGGGAAGAGGAGUGACUUUCCCCUGUACAGUGGCCCUGUCAAAAUUCUAUAAAAAAUAUUGUCCAUUUAAAUUAAAUAACCACUGUGCCUGGCUCCAUUUACCACACUUUUCUAUGCAGUGGAACUGAAGGGGAUUUUUUUUUUUUGCUGUCCUCAGAGAAAAAUAAGACUAAGAAUCAACCUUUCUAAUGAGAAUG